RNAcentral lists this ribosomal RNA (209 nucleotides) under Escherichia coli. Its description in RNAcentral is "partial 16S ribosomal RNA". It matches the Rfam family "Bacterial small subunit ribosomal RNA", at positions 1 to 215 of the family's 1533-position model. Lineage: Bacteria; Pseudomonadati; Pseudomonadota; Gammaproteobacteria; Enterobacterales; Enterobacteriaceae. The record is from RNAcentral.
UUAAAUUGAAGAGUUUGAUCAUGGCUCAGAUUGAACGCUGGCGGCAGGCCUAACACAUGCAAGUCGAACGGUAACAGGAARCAGCUUGCUGYUUYGCUGACGAGUGGCGGACGGGUGAGUAAUGUCUGGGAAACUGCCYGAUGGAGGGGGAUAACUACUGGAAACGGUAGCUAAUACCGCAUAACGUCGCAAGACCAAAGAGGGGGACC